This 253-nucleotide ribosomal RNA is filed under the name uncultured bacterium. Its description in RNAcentral is "partial 16S ribosomal RNA". It matches the Rfam family "Bacterial small subunit ribosomal RNA", at positions 524 to 776 of the family's 1533-position model. The record is from RNAcentral.
UACGGGGGGGGCAAGCGUUGUCCGGAUUUAUUGGGCGUAAAGAGCGUGUAGGCGGCCUGACAGGUCUGCUGUGAAAACUCGAGGCUCAACCUCGAGAUGUCGGCGGAAACCGUCUGGCUAGAGUCCGGAAGAGGAGAGUGGAAUUCCUGGUGUAGCGGUGAAAUGCGCAGAUAUCAGGAAGAACACCUAUGGCGAAGGCAGCUCUCUGGGACGGUACUGACGCUGAGGCGCGAAAGCUAGGGGAGCAAACGGG